This 332-nucleotide unclassified non-coding RNA is filed under the name soil metagenome. Its description in RNAcentral is "partial contains 5.8S ribosomal RNA, internal transcribed spacer 2, and large subunit ribosomal RNA". The stretch from base 1 to 120 matches the Rfam family "5.8S ribosomal RNA", at positions 35 to 154 of the family's 154-position model. The record is from RNAcentral.
GAUGAAGAACGUAGCGAAAUGCGAUAAGUAAUGUGAAUUGCAGAAUUCAGUGAAUCAUCGAAUCUUUGAACGCACAUUGCGCCCGCCAGUAUUCUGGCGGGCAUGCCUGUUCGAGCGUCAUUUCAACCAUCAAGCCCUGUGCUUGUGUUGGGGGCCUGCGGCUGCCGCAGCCCCCUAAAAGCAGUGGCGGGCUCGCUGUCAUUCCGAGCGCAGUAACUUAUCUCGCUUUGGUCGUGGCGGUGGGCACCUGCCGUAAAACACUCUUUUUCACAAGGUUGACCUCGGAUCAGGUAGGAAUACCCGCUGAACUUAAGCAUAUCAAUAAGCGAGGA